ACGGAGGGUGCAAGCGUUGCUCGGAAUCACUGGGCGUAAAGCGUACGCAGGCGGCUUGAUAAGUUGGGUGUGAAAGCCCGGGGCUCAACCCCGGAACUGCAUUCAAAACUGUCUAGCUUGAAUACGGGAGAGGGAAGCGGAAUUCCUGGUGUAGAGGUGAAAUUCGUAGAUAUCAGGAGGAACACCAGUGGCGAAAGCGGCUUCCUGGCCCGAUAUUGACGCUCAUGUACGAAAGCGUGGGGAGCAAACAGG
Molecule: ribosomal RNA, 252 nt
Filed under: uncultured bacterium
Lineage: Bacteria
Description: partial 16S ribosomal RNA
Rfam family: Bacterial small subunit ribosomal RNA
Source: RNAcentral